Long non-coding RNA from Neopsephotus bourkii (Bourke's parrot), 856 nucleotides. RefSeq lists it as uncharacterized. NCBI's taxonomy places the organism in Eukaryota, Metazoa, Chordata, Aves, Psittaciformes, Psittacidae. The record is from RefSeq and is a predicted model, not a curated record. The transcript has 3 exons.
GGGCUUCGGGAUCCGCCCGGCUCGGGGUAACAGCGGCCGUCGGGGCGAUGGUAGCAGCCACAGAACCCCUGCUCCGCUCGGCGGGCCGAACAGAGCCCCCUCCGGUCCAGUAUCACCGCCCUCGGGUCGGGUACCGCUGCUCAGCCGGCUCCUCCAUUGUGCCAGUCGGCCCUUGGACGCGCUUGCUCCCGUCUGGGAAGCUGCUGUAGAAAAGGCUCUGGAGCCCCCACAAUACGAUGGACAUGGUGCUGCUGGAGCGAGUCCAGAGGAGGCCACAGAGAUGGAGAAACGGCAGGCUGGAAUCCAGCCCACAGUAAGUGAGUUUUAAAUAUUUGGUACAUUUCCUAUGGCAGAUCAUCCUAGCCAACACCUUCUGUAGUAAGAGCAAGGAGCUCAUUUAGUCCAGAGAGAGCUACCUGGAGCCCAUGAGGCAGGUGAUAAAGAGAACAGCCACAGCAAACCUCCAUGUUCACAUCCCCUGCACGUCAGCCAUUCCACACAGCACACAAGCAUGUCUGUGGGUGAGGAUGGACUAAAGGACGUUUGCCAGAAGACAUCUCUAUGCACCUCUCAACAUAAGUAUAAUCUGUGCUGCCAUCAGGAGGUGGGACUUGCAUGUUCCACAGUGACAACAUAAAUCAGUGGUCAUGUCUCUUCUGAAGACAGAGGAAGAGCAGCAGAAGGCCUCUGAGCUCACUAUCUGCUUGCUCCUUGUCUUGGGUCUUCCUGGGCUCUCUCUACAUGGUCCUAGUUGAUCUCAGGAGAAAUACACAAGUGGAUUCUAUCCUCAUCUCAGGAACCUGUGUGUAGGUAGCACAUGGUUUACUACAGAUGUUUUAGCAAAUAAUAAUGAUGU